GAAUUUUGAACAAGGGGCGAAAGCCUGACCCGCCAAUGCCGCGGGCGGGAGGAAGGCCUUCGGGUGUAAACCUGCUUUUUUAGGGACGGAAAAGCUUUGGGUAAAUCCCCGGAAGCCUGGACGGUACCGUAAGAAUAAGCACGGGCUAACACCGUGCAGCCAGCCGCGGUAAUACGAAGGGUGCAAGCGUUAAUCGGAAUUACUGGGCGUAAAGCGUGCGCAGGCGGUUUUGUAAGACAGAGGUGAAAUCCCCGGGCUCAACCUGGGAACUGCCUUUGUGACUGCAAGGCUAGAGUACGGCAGAGGGGGGUGGAAUUCCGCGUGUAGCAGUGAAAUGCGUAGAUAUGCGGAGGAACACCGAUGGCGAAGGCAACCCCCUGGGCCUGUACUGACGCUCAUGCACGAAAGCGUGGGGAGCAAAC
This 422-nucleotide ribosomal RNA is filed under the name uncultured bacterium. RNAcentral describes it as "partial 16S ribosomal RNA". It matches the Rfam family "Bacterial small subunit ribosomal RNA", at positions 359 to 773 of the family's 1533-position model. The record is from RNAcentral.